UAUGUGUCUGGGCAGAUAAGUUUCCCUGACAAGAAUAAUGAGAUGUGAGGCACCCAUCUGGCUCAGUUGGUGGAGCAUGUGACUCUUGAUCUCAGGAUUAUAGGCUCCGUGCCCUAUUUUGGGUGUAGACAUUACUUAAAAUAAUAAUAAUAAUAAAUUCUUUAAAAGAAAAAAGAACAAUCAAGUAUUAGUCACACAAGGGCAUGGGGUGUAUGUUCUAUGCAAGAGGAUCUUCUAGUUCAAACACCUGGAUGCUGCAGAGGCCUAGGCUUGUUGGGGAAUGAUUUACAACCUAGAUUUUUAUACCUAGCAAAACUACCGGUAAAAAUGUGAAGAGGGAACGAAAGGCAAGACAGAUGCUGAAAUGCAAGGUUUCAAAAAAUUUACCUGCCGUGCAUCUCUUCCCAGGAAGCUAGUUGAGGACCUGCAUCACCAAAAUCAAGGAGUAAAUCAAGAGAGCAAACAACAUGUGAAUAACUGCAUGAAGCUCAGCCUGGCAUUAGGAUUGGUGAAUCUGAUGGCCACCUAGGCUGUUCCUCCCACAAUGGCUUUGCAGCUCAUGGAGGAGAGAGACAUUGUGAGCAGCACUUUAGGCUCCUUGGCCUCAUGGACUAGGAACUUCUGGAAGCCACUGGACAGCAUGCACUUUGCUUUCUUAUUGCUCACGUAACCACUGUUGGGCAUCAAGAUCUGGCCCUUGAAUCUUCUGUGCACCCUACAGCUAGUACCUCUGGGUUUCCACCACUUGUGCUUCAUUUUGACAUCUGACUGGUGCUGGAUGAACUUCUUGGUCCUCUUUUUAACAAUCGUGGGCUUUACCAGAGGUCUGAAGAUGGCCAUGAUGACAAGUAAGAGAUGGCUGCCAAAAUUUGUCUUUUAUUAUUAAUGGUUCAGAUGCAGAAAAUAGGUGAAUUCACAUAGACCCACACAUUGUUUGUAGCAUUACUACAUGUUCGUGUCUCAUAAACAGAGGAAUUUUGGUAAAUUCUAUACUGUCUGAUUCCAUCAAAAAUGAAAAAGGUGGGGGCACCUGGGUAGUGCAGUUGGUUGAGCGUCUGAUGCUUGGUUUUAGCUUGAGUUGUGGUCUUGGGGUUGUGA
Molecule: transfer RNA, 1098 nt
Filed under: Canis lupus familiaris (dog)
Lineage: Eukaryota; Metazoa; Chordata; Mammalia; Carnivora; Canidae
Description: lncRNA (ENSCAFG00845017821.1)
Rfam family: tRNA (bases 52-125)
Source: RNAcentral